UUAAGCGACUAAGCGUACACGGUGGAUGCCCUGGCAGUCAGAGGCGAUGAAGGACGUGCUAAUCUGCGAUAAGCGUCGGUAAGGUGAUAUGAACCGUUAUAACCGGCGAUUUCCGAAUGGGGAAACCCAGUGUGAUCCGUCACACUAUCAUUAACUGAAUCCAUAGGUUAAUGAGGCGAACCGGGGGAACUGAAACAUCUAAGUACCCCGAGGAAAAGAAAUCAACCGAGAUUCCCCCAGUAGCGGCGAGCGAACGGGGAGGAGCCCAGAGCCUGAAUCAGUGUGUGUGUUAGUGGAAGCGUCUGGAAAGGCGUGCGAUACAGGGUGACAGCCCCGUACACAAAAAUGCACAUGCUGUGAGCUCGAUGAGUAGGGCGGGACACGUGGUAUCCUGUCUGAAUAUGGGGGGACCAUCCUCCAAGGCUAAAUACUCCUGACUGACCGAUAGUGAACCAGUACCGUGAGGGAAAGGCGAAAAGAACCCCGGCGAGGGGAGUGAAAAAGAACCUGAAACCGUGUACGUACAAGCAGUGGGAGCCUCUUUAUGGGGUGACUGCGUACCUUUUGUAUAAUGGGUCAGCGACUUAUAUUCUGUAGCAAGGUUAACCGAAUAGGGGAGCCGAAGGGAAACCGAGUCUUAACUGGGCGUUAAGUUGCAGGGUAUAGACCCGAAACCCGGUGAUCUAGCCAUGGGCAGGUUGAAGGUUGGGUAACACUAACUGGAGGACCGAACCGACUAAUGUUGAAAAAUUAGCGGAUGACUUGUGGCUGGGGGUGAAAGGCCAAUCAAACCGGGAGAUAGCUGGUUCUCCCCGAAAGCUAUUUAGGUAGCGCCUCGUGAAUUCAUCUCCGGGGGUAGAGCACUGUUUCGGCAAGGGGGUCAUCCCGACUUACCAACCCGAUGCAAACUGCGAAUACCGGAGAAUGUUAUCACGGGAGACACACGGCGGGUGCUAACGUCCGUCGUGAAGAGGGAAACAACCCAGACCGCCAGCUAAGGUCCCAAAGUCAUGGUUAAGUGGGAAACGAUGUGGGAAGGCCCAGACAGCCAGGAUGUUGGCUUAGAAGCAGCCAUCAUUUAAAGAAAGCGUAAUAGCUCACUGGUCGAGUCGGCCUGCGCGGAAGAUGUAACGGGGCUAAACCAUGCACCGAAGCUGCGGCAGCGACACUAUGUGUUGUUGGGUAGGGGAGCGUUCUGUAAGCCGUUGAAGGUGUGCUGUGAGGCAUGCUGGAGGUAUCAGAAGUGCGAAUGCUGACAUAAGUAACGAUAAAGCGGGUGAAAAGCCCGCUCGCCGGAAGACCAAGGGUUCCUGUCCAACGUUAAUCGGGGCAGGGUGAGUCGACCCCUAAGGCGAGGCCGAAAGGCGUAGUCGAUGGGAAACAGGUUAAUAUUCCUGUACUUGGUGUUACUGCGAAGGGGGGACGGAGAAGGCUAUGUUGGCCGGGCGACGGUUGUCCCGGUUUAAGCGUGUAGGCUGAUUUUCCAGGCAAAUCCGGAGAAUCAAGGCUGAGGCGUGAUGACGAGGCACUACGGUGCUGAAGCAACAAAUGCCCUGCUUCCAGGAAAAGCCUCUAAGCAUCAGGUAACAUCAAAUCGUACCCCAAACCGACACAGGUGGUCAGGUAGAGAAUACCAAGGCGCUUGAGAGAACUCGGGUGAAGGAACUAGGCAAAAUGGUGCCGUAACUUCGGGAGAAGGCACGCUGAUAUGUAGGUGAAGCGACUUGCUCGUGGAGCUGAAAUCAGUCGAAGAUACCAGCUGGCUGCAACUGUUUAUUAAAAACACAGCACUGUGCAAACACGAAAGUGGACGUAUACGGUGUGACGCCUGCCCGGUGCCGGAAGGUUAAUUGAUGGGGUCAGCCGCAAGGCGAAGCUCUUGAUCGAAGCCCCGGUAAACGGCGGCCGUAACUAUAACGGUCCUAAGGUAGCGAAAUUCCUUGUCGGGUAAGUUCCGACCUGCACGAAUGGCGUAAUGAUGGCCAGGCUGUCUCCACCCGAGACUCAGUGAAAUUGAACUCGCUGUGAAGAUGCAGUGUACCCGCGGCAAGACGGAAAGACCCCGUGAACCUUUACUAUAGCUUGACACUGAACAUUGAGCCUUGAUGUGUAGGAUAGGUGGGAGGCUUUGAAGUGUGGACGCCAGUCUGCAUGGAGCCGACCUUGAAAUACCACCCUUUAAUGUUUGAUGUUCUAACGUGGACCCGUGAUCCGGGUUGCGGACAGUGUCUGGUGGGUAGUUUGACUGGGGCGGUCUCCUCCUAAAGAGUAACGGAGGAGCACGAAGGUUGGCUAAUCCUGGUCGGACAUCAGGAGGUUAGUGCAAUGGCAUAAGCCAGCUUGACUGCGAGCGUGACGGCGCGAGCAGGUGCGAAAGCAGGUCAUAGUGAUCCGGUGGUUCUGAAUGGAAGGGCCAUCGCUCAACGGAUAAAAGGUACUCCGGGGAUAACAGGCUGAUACCGCCCAAGAGUUCAUAUCGACGGCGGUGUUUGGCACCUCGAUGUCGGCUCAUCACAUCCUGGGGCUGAAGUAGGUCCCAAGGGUAUGGCUGUUCGCCAUUUAAAGUGGUACGCGAGCUGGGUUUAGAACGUCGUGAGACAGUUCGGUCCCUAUCUGCCGUGGGCGCUGGAGAACUGAGGGGGGCUGCUCCUAGUACGAGAGGACCGGAGUGGACGCAUCACUGGUGUUCGGGUUGUCAUGCCAAUGGCACUGCCCGGUAGCUAAAUGCGGAAGAGAUAAGUGCUGAAAGCAUCUAAGCACGAAACUUGCCCCGAGAUGAGUUCUCCCUGAGACUUUAAGUCUCCUGAAGGAACGUUGAAGACGACGACGUUGAUAGGCCGGGUGUGUAAGCGCAGCGAUGCGUUGAGCUAACCGGUACUAAUGAACCGUGAGGCUUAACCUU
RNAcentral lists this ribosomal RNA (2902 nucleotides) under Escherichia marmotae. Its description in RNAcentral is "23S ribosomal RNA". It matches the Rfam family "Bacterial large subunit ribosomal RNA". The record is from RNAcentral. Lineage: Bacteria; Pseudomonadati; Pseudomonadota; Gammaproteobacteria; Enterobacterales; Enterobacteriaceae.